CCCAGACUCCUACGGGAGGCAGCAGUGGGGAAUAUUGCACAAUGGGGGGAACCCUGAUGCAGCGACGCCGCGUGGGUGAAGGAGCACCUCGGUGCGUAAAGCCCUCUCGGCAGGGAAGAAAAGCGAACAGGUUCGCCUGGACGGUACCUGACUAAGAAGCCCCGGCUAACUACGUGCCAGCAGCCGCGGUAAUACGUAGGGGGCAAGCGUUAUCCGGAUUCACUGGGUGUAAAGGGAGCGUAGACGGCGACGCAAGUCUGGAGUGAAAGCCCGGGGCUCAACCCCGGUACUGCAUUGGAAACUGUCGGACUAGAGUGUCGGAGGGGUAAGUGGAAUUCCUAGUGUAGCGGUGAAAUGCGUAGAUAUUAGGAGGAACACCAGUGGCGAAGGCGGCUUACUGGACUGUAAAUGACGCUGAGGCUCGAAAGCGUGGGGAGCAAACAGGAUUAGAUACCCCAGUAC
Molecule: ribosomal RNA, 462 nt
Filed under: uncultured bacterium
Lineage: Bacteria
Description: bacterial SSU rRNA
Rfam family: Bacterial small subunit ribosomal RNA
Source: RNAcentral